RNAcentral lists this long non-coding RNA (466 nucleotides) under Rattus norvegicus (Norway rat). RNAcentral's name for it is "long non-coding RNA NONRATT009079". The record is from RNAcentral. Lineage: Eukaryota; Metazoa; Chordata; Mammalia; Rodentia; Muridae.
GGAAAUGUUCUGAAUGUCACAUCAGUGGAGAUGUGAACCAGUGCCUGUGACCAACAUGACCGGGUCCAUCACCCCCAUCCUUCCUGCCCUUAAGCUUGUUCCCUCCUCCUUACCAACAGCAGGUCCACAAGCACGUUUACCUCGGGACCACAUCGCAAUCCACCACCUACGCGACUUCUCUCCUUCCUCCACACACCCAAGGAACCUUUGUUGUGCACAGGCUGCACACAAGAUAUCCAAGCCCACCGAAGCUUGUUUUUCACCUUCCUACUUCCCUCUCCCAAGUGCUGGGAACAUGGGCAUGACCUAUAAGGCACCUGGGUUAAACCUGUAAAAGAGCCUGAGGCACAAAUCUGGAACACACUAUCCUGAGUUUAAACCUGUCAACACACUCAUAAGUAUACUAAAGUGCACUGUCAAUAUGGCUGUGCGUCUAAAUAAAUUUAAGCCUGGUGUUUUUAAAAAG